This 484-nucleotide ribosomal RNA is filed under the name uncultured bacterium. RNAcentral's name for it is "partial 16S ribosomal RNA". It matches the Rfam family "Bacterial small subunit ribosomal RNA", at positions 28 to 523 of the family's 1533-position model. The record is from RNAcentral.
GACGAACGCUGGCGGCGUGCUUAACACAUGCAAGUCGAACGAUGAAGCCGGAGCUUGCUCUGGUGAAUUAGUGGCGAACGGGUGAGUAACACGUGAGUAACCUGCCCUUGACUCUGGGAUAACUGCUAGAAAUGGUAGCUAAUACCGGAUACGACCCUCGGAGGCAUCUCCAGGGGGUGGAAAGAAUUUCGGUCAAGGAUGGACUCGCGGCCUAUCAGCUAGUUGGUGAGGUAAUGGCUCACCAAGGCGACGACGGGUAGCCGGCCUGAGAGGGUGACCGGCCACACUGGGACUGAGACACGGCCCAGACUCCUACGGGAGGCGGCAGUGGGGAAUAUUGCACAAUGGGCGCAAGCCUGAUGCAGCAACGCCGCGUGAGGGAUGACGGCCUUCGGGUUGUAAACCUCUUUUAGUAGCGAAGAAGCGAAAGUGACGGUACCUGCAGAGAAAGCACCGGCUAACUACGUGCCAGCAGCCGCAGUAA